UACGUAGGGCGCAAGCGUUAUCCGGAAUUAUUGGGCGUAAAGAGCUCGUAGGCGGUUUGUCGCGUCUGCCGUGAAAGUCCGGGGCUCAACUCCGGAUCUGCGGUGGGUACGGGCAGACUAGAGUGAUGUAGGGGAGACUGGAAUUCCUGGUGUAGCGGUGAAAUGCGCAGAUAUCAGGAGGAACACCGAGUGGCGAAGGGCAGGUCUCUGGGCAUUAACUGACGCUGAAGCACGGAAAGCGUGGGGGAGCAAACAGG
RNAcentral lists this ribosomal RNA (257 nucleotides) under uncultured bacterium. RNAcentral describes it as "partial 16S ribosomal RNA". It matches the Rfam family "Bacterial small subunit ribosomal RNA", at positions 524 to 776 of the family's 1533-position model. The record is from RNAcentral.